This 295-nucleotide long non-coding RNA is filed under the name Bos taurus (domestic cattle). RNAcentral's name for it is "long non-coding RNA NONBTAT007533". Lineage: Eukaryota; Metazoa; Chordata; Mammalia; Artiodactyla; Bovidae. The record is from RNAcentral.
AUUUCUUGCAUGUCCUUAAGAUCAUGCUCCUGGAGACAAGUCCCAGGUCUUAACCCAGUAAAGUACAAUCGUAUUGUGUCAUACUCUCGCACUGAGGUGAACUGACUCCUGGAUGGCUAAUUUUUCUAGGGUGGCUGGGACCCAUUCACCUAGCCUCUAAUGGGUUUCAUUUUGGCUCAAGAUGCAUGGUUUCCACAAUCUAUGCACCUGGAGUAAGCACUUUCCUGGUUGCCUCGGAAAAGCAUGCCGGCAAAUGCUGCUCUGUUAAUUGCUGUAAUAAACAGACUUUUAUUAU